Molecule: long non-coding RNA, 2289 nt
Filed under: Paramuricea clavata
Lineage: Eukaryota; Metazoa; Cnidaria; Anthozoa; Malacalcyonacea; Plexauridae
Source: RNAcentral
UUUGCAGUAAUACAUUUACGUGGUGUUCCCCCAAACCAAUUAUAGUAUUAUAUGAUUUAUUGCCAUGCAAAGCUACAAAGAACUUAUGUCCAAGUUUAUUAUUGGAUGUCAGAAUUUUCCAAGAGGUUAAAUGAUAAUGUUAAAUCAGGAAUAGCUCAUAACACAUUUCACUACAUGACUUUAUGUAGUGAAAAUACAUAAAGUCAUGUUAGAUUUAUAUCAUUAUAAACAUUAUAGGGUGAUAAACAAUACAAAACGUAAAUAUAUUGUAUCAACGAUUGAACGUAAUCUGUAUACUGGCAAGGGCAAAACCUAGAGCUAGAGGUCUCAGGUGUAUUAUGAUGCAGAAUGCAGAUGCUUGUCCUCAAUGGGUUUUUUUCGGAAUGAAGGUUAAUUCUACUUAAUUGUGGCCAAUUCAAAUCCAAAUACAAUUCAAUAACUUGACGGAUUUGAUUAAUAUAUUAGAUUAUAAUUAAAUACCUCGCUCGAAGAUACUCCGUACAGUCUUGACAUUUCUUUUAAGACCUGCUCGCCAUGUUUAUUUUUGAACACAUCCUGCGCUUCUUUAAUUGUGCCUUCUCCAAUUUUACCGUGUUCAGCUCUGUAAUGUUGUUCUAAACCUGCCUUUUUAAAAAAGGCAGUUUUAUUUGUGCAGUCUUGGUGUGGGCAACAAACCUUAUCUUUGGAAAAUGCUUCCUGCCACGUCCUUAGAGUCGCCAUUUUACUGCAUUAAGUUUACAAGUCUCACGCCGCUUAUUUAUAUCUGUUUAUAUUCAAGAUUAUGCAGAAAUUUACUUGCUGACGUGACGCCGGCGCCAUUUUUUUUACAAGAUUCCGCAGGCCCUCUCGAAAUCGUGACCUUCCCAUGACGCAACGAGGGCCUGCGGAGGAGGCAGGGGUUAGGGUUAGAAAAGGGGUUGGGGAUAGGUUUAUAUUAUAAAAAUUCAACUUUAACAAUAGUCACUAGAUUGCCGGCCAUUUAGUAUUUGAUAAACCGUGACCGGCUGCCGGUCAUAUAGUCACUUCGUUAGAAUAAGCUUUGGUAUCCAUUAAUUGUAACACUUCGAUAUAGGACAUUUGAGGCUUGACGAAGGAGAAGAUAGAAGACGGGUUAAUGUCAAGGUUGAGAGUCGAAUCCAGCACAUGCGACAAUGUAGAGGUGUUGGAUACAUCUACCAGUGUAUCACAAAGGGGAACAUCUUUCGACAUUAAUCGACGACUUGCGUUCAGCUCUAUUGAAACGGGGGCGGCUGCGGAGGUCUGGCUACACUGUGUACCAUUAUAACAUGCCAUGUAUGUCAAAAACUGCAUAUUAUAAACAAUUAUCUGGACCAUUCUCCUAGUCGUAGAAAGAGAAUGUCUGAAUGAACUGAAAAGAGUGGGUGAAAAGGUUCCUAAACCUGAUUUUUGAGCAACAGCGAAAGAGAAAAAGAGGCGUCAAGGGGAGAACUUAUGUUGUACUAGAAGGGAAGAAGUAUUGAAGGAUGCUGAAGGUACCACAUAUGAAGCUGGUGCCUUCUAAUUACCUUCAGCAAGACUUUGAUUUUGAACUUAUGUAUAUAGACCAUACAUUUACUCAUUGUAAACAAUCCUCAAACGUUAAAGCCGUUUUCUCAAAAUCGCACAUUUUACCCUUUGAGAAAGGAUAUCUCUAGAACGAUUUAACCAAUUGACAUGAAAUUUUCAGGAUUUAUGUAUCUUACUAUUUUCUUGGGGAUGAACAGAGGAUUUUUAAAUAUAUAUUUUAUAACAUGAAUUAUUGCAUAAACAUGUCAAGCAAAUUUGUAUGGUACAUUUAAAACCUCGUAAUCCGCUUAGUUUUCAAAAUUUUCAAAAAUCCUCUGUUCAUCCCCAAGAGAAUGGCAAGAUACAUAUAUCCUGAAAAUUUCAUGUCAAUUGGUUAAAUCAUUCCAGAGAUAUCUUUACUCAAGCUCAGUCUAUCACGAAACCGCAUGUUGCCACUUUAACUGCCUGGUUGCCAAUAGCAACGCAGAUUUGGUGUCCAAAAAUAUAUUUUUUAGAAUCUUGAGUUCAUUAGCUAUCUGAUGAUAUAUAGUUUGCCAGAGGUUUAUUGUAAAGUGUCCAGUGUGCAGCCUUUGUUCUGUGAGCCUUAGUUUUGGGUUGACCCUCCCCUUAACACUAGAUUUUGUUUUAAUUAGUAAUUUAUAUGUUUUUGUGUUCACAUUUACAGUUAUAAAAAAGUUCUAAAAGUAAAAAAAGUUUUUUACUCUUGAUAUAUACAAGGUUGCGUGAGUUUUUGCGAGGCAUGGCGGAUGUCCGGGGGGAGGG